This 502-nucleotide ribosomal RNA is filed under the name Bitylenchus hispaniensis. RNAcentral's name for it is "SSU rRNA". It matches the Rfam family "Eukaryotic small subunit ribosomal RNA", at positions 88 to 590 of the family's 1831-position model. Lineage: Eukaryota; Metazoa; Nematoda; Chromadorea; Rhabditida; Telotylenchidae. The record is from RNAcentral.
CGCGAAUGGCUCAUUACAACAGCUAUAAUUUACUUGAAUUUGACAACCCUACUUGGAUACCGGUGGUAAUUCUAGCGCUAAUACAUGCACCAAAGCUCCGACCGCGAGGGAAGAGCGCAUUUAUUAGAACAAAACCACACGGCUUCGGCGUCCAAUGUUGACUCAGAAUAACUAAGCUGAUCGCAUGGUCUUGCACCGGCGACGUUUCUUUCAAGUAUCUGCCUUAUCAACUUUCGAUGGUAGUGUAUCUGACUACCAUGGUGAUGACGGGUAACGGAGGAUAAGGGUUCGACUCCGGAGAAGGGGCCUGAGAAAUGGCCACUACGUCUAAGGAUGGCAGCAGGCGCGCAAAUUACCCACCCUCAGUACGAGGAGGUAGUGACGAGAAAUAACAAGACCGUUCUCUAAAGAGGCCGGUCAUUGGAAUGGGUACAAUUUAAACCCUUUAACGAGUAUCUAUGAGAGGGCAAGUCUGGUGCCAGCAGCCGCGGUAAUUCCAGCU